CCUACGGGAGGCAGCAGUGGGGAAUAUUGGACAAUGGGGGAAACCCUGAUCCAGCGACGCCGCGUGAGUGAAGAAGUAUUUCGGUACGUAAAGCUCUAUCAGCAGGAAAGAAAAUGACGGUACCUGACUAAGAAGACCCGGCUAACUACGUGCCAGCAGCCGCGGUAAUACGUAGGGGGCAAGCGUUAUCCGGAUUUACUGGGUGUAAAGGGAGCGUUGACGGCAGCGCAAGUCUGGAGUGAAAUGCCGGGGCUCAACCCCGGAACUGCUCUGGAAACUGUGAAGCUGGAGUGCAGGAGAGGUAAGCGGAAUUCCUGGUGUAGCGGUGAAAUGCUUAGAUAUCAGGAGGAACACCGGCGGCGAAGGCGGCUUACUGGACUGUAACUGACGUUGAGGCUCGAAGGCGUGGGGAGCAAACAGGAUUAGAUACCCUAGUAGUC
RNAcentral lists this ribosomal RNA (440 nucleotides) under uncultured bacterium. RNAcentral's name for it is "partial 16S ribosomal RNA". It matches the Rfam family "Bacterial small subunit ribosomal RNA", at positions 338 to 795 of the family's 1533-position model. The record is from RNAcentral.